This 3886-nucleotide long non-coding RNA is filed under the name Lynx pardinus (Iberian lynx). The record is from RNAcentral. Lineage: Eukaryota; Metazoa; Chordata; Mammalia; Carnivora; Felidae.
CCGCCAUUUCCUCAGCUGACUGCUUUCUCGGAUCCUUUCAAAGAGGCGUUUCCUAGGGAUGGUCAGACAGCAGAAACCCGUCACAUCCAUGAGCCUGUGCGAAUUCCCUUUGCCUGUUUUGUGAAGAUCUGGGGAGGGUUGCUAUGGUGAACUUAGUGCUUGGGGAGGGAAAGGAGCCCCUGCCUGAGAACGUUCCUGGUCCCCAGUGUCCCUCCCCCUCAGGAAAGUGACAUCAGAGAGGAGGAGCUGAGCUUUUACCCCCGCAUGUCACCUCAUCUCUCUACACCUCAAUUUCCUCAUUGGAUGGUGGCAUCUGCUUUAUGGGGAGGGGGGUGUUGCAGUGGCAUUGCUGAGGAUGAAGUGACAUAAUGAGUGUCAUGGUACUUCGAGAACCAUGUAUUACGCUGUCACUCACUUCAUCGACAUCGACAGUCCCAGAAGUUGUCAGCUUCUGUUCAGCUGCCUGUGCUGUGAGAGAUGAGUGGUGUCUAAGAAUUCCUUUGGGAAGGGUUUGACCAGCUCUCUGGGGGGCAGACAGUGUGGGCACUUAAUUGAGUCGCCUGGCACACACAUGACUCUCUGAGGCUGGCACAGAGAGGACUCUGGAACACGUCCUGGCAGUCUGGCCCAGUGCUGGAUUAGCGGCCUGUCCUGGGUGUCAUUUCAAGUUCUGCUUCAAGUUCUGUGUUGUCUGCGGAUCCUUGGCAGUGAUACAAGGGCUCUGCUUCUCCAGAUCUCCCAGAUCAAGCCGCCUCACUCGGGAGUGGCAGGUGGAGGGGGAGCGGAAGAUAUUUCCAGAUCCUGAUUUCACAGCACAGUGACUAGACAGAGAGGCAUCCCAUAAAGCCUUCCCGGGCCCGGCACCGCGGCGAGCUGUCAGUAGGGGGAGCUCUGUCACUGUGGUGCGUCCUCUUGCCGCAGCUGGGGUGAGGGUCUGCCUGGGGGUCUGAGGAGGGGCUCGAGGAGGCCAAGGGCGCUGUCUUCGGUAGACAGGUACUGAAAAGCAGCUAGGUCAAGAGUUGUGGGCUGCGAGAGCCCCAGCAGAAAAAGAAGUGGAAAUCCACUGUGCCUGGUGCCCAGGGGUUAGAAGGGUGCUUGGGUUAAGCACACAAAGAAAACGCACAAAUAUCCCAACUUAGGGUGUCUUAACGAAGAAGGGCUGGAGGGUGUGGCUUCACUAAGACCGAAGCUGCUAGAAUUGCCCUCCCUCCCCGUUCCCUCCCACAGGGCCGCCUGUGGGGAACUGGCCACAAGGGGGCCCAACAUGGUUCCGGGAGCUCCCGAGUGUGCCCUCUGUGGGUGCCCGGGUCUCUCUGCUCACUGAGCAGCCCUCAUGAAGCUGGCCUGGCCCUGGCUUAUCAGCUGCACCCAAAGGCAGGAAGGUUCUAAAUGAGGCUCCUAGCCUCAGACUGGGAAGAGGGGAAGAUAAGGUAAGGGUGGCCUCCUUCCUUCCAGGGCCUGGGGUGGCUUUGAGCACUUAAGGGGACAGAUGUGUGCCUAGGACUCUCCAGGUGGUGGGGGUGAGCAGCAGGGACGUCCACCUCCCUCAGAGGGUCUGACGCUCAGAUGGACUGGUCUUGCCCCUCUCGCAGGAGGCUACAGCCAUUUCUCCAUCUCUGUUCUGUGCUGAGACCCUGGGAAGCCCGAGGACGGGACAUUAGGUUUGUCAUCAGCCUUGCACGUGUGUGAGAUGAGACUGUGUGGUGUGCGUCUAGAUGUUUGAGCAGGAGUGGGGCUGGGGACCAUUUCUCAUGGGCAAGUGGGGAGGAAGCCCGGCUUAAGUGGGGCAGUGUGGCCUCAUCCAGAACUGCUCUACCCUUAGUGGUAACUUGUGAGACACGUCUUUGUGACGGCAUUAAGAUCAAGGUUGAGGGGCUCUGAGAGGCUCAGUUAAGCGUCUGACUUCGGCUCAGGUCACGAUCUCACGGUUCAUGAGUGAGCCCCAUGUCAGAGCCUGGAGCCUGCUUCAGAUUCUGUCUCCCUCCCCCCACUCAUUCUCUCUCUCUCUCUCCUUCAAACAUUAAAACUUAAAUUAAUUAAUUAAAAAAAGAUCGAGGUUGAGAUUGGGGUGUCAGGGAGGACAGCUGGCUUAGAGGUAGGGGAGGAUUUGCUGUACUUUUUUUCUGAAGGUCUCUGGUACUGGAAGGAUCUUCUCUGUAUCCCUCCUCCUUGGGGUCAGAGACCAGAUCUGCUGGCUUGGGGCAGUUUAGGGGGAAUCCUACCAGACGGAGGGAUCAGAGAUUCCCUUUGGGUGAAUGGAGAAGGGGCUGUCUUUCUGUUUGUGAUGAAAUUUGCAGUGAACCACCAAGCUUCAGAGAUGGAGAGAGGCUGAUCCCAGCCGCUUCUGUGCCCUGUAGGUCCUGCGCCUUAGCUUUGCAAGCUGAGUGGUCUGGCCCCAUUUGACUCGUGGCCUACAUGGGAGCCCACAGGGACGUCCCGCCCUUCUGCCCACACAGGUGCAGACCUAAACUUGAUCUUUGCAAAUCAGUCGGCUAUCUCUGCUCACUAGAAGCACAGUAACCUCUUGAACUGUCCAGAUUAGAGUUUUCAGAUUAUGAGGGACCCAACACAAUUUCAAGUCAACACAAGGUGAGAGGGGAGGCCUAAGGACUCUUUCCAAUCUCAAGGCCUUUACAUAUAUUGCAGUCCCCCCCCCCCCCCCCCCCCGGCAUAUUCUCCCCUAUCCCUAACCCAUCCUUUUAUCUAGGCAAUUCCCACCCAUCCUUCAGAGCCCAGCCUAGGUGUGGCUUCCGAGGAAGCCUUCCCAGACUGCCCAGAUCAGUCUCAAAGCUCUUGGUCUCAUUUGCUACAAUUAUAAACAUUUCGCAUCGUGUGACUGAUUAUUUUCUUCUCCCUCUUGUAGAAUGUAAGCUUCAUAAGGAGAGCGCUGGGAGUUUCUCUUGUUUACCACCCAUCGAGUCCCUGGCAGAAAGUAGAUACUCAACAAACAAGAGCCGAAUGAGAGAAUAAAUGGGGUCACCAGGUUGCCAGUGGAAUCCCUCCCACCUUCUAGCGGCCAGACUGCUGUCUCAGACUGUAUGGAUACUGUUCUGUGUUCUUAUCGACUGAAGGGGAGAACCACAGCUGGGCUGAAGUUCUCCGCGCAGCUCCUGGGACUUUUGAGUUCUCGUGAGGUGAUCACUGGUCUCACUCCUCUUGUUUGAUCUCCCCCGGACUCUCUGCUAAGUUAAGGUCCAUUCCCUACCACGCCCACUGUCUUCUUUCUCGAGAUGCUUAGCUUCUGGUCUUUGUGUGAAACACGCGGCUCUCUCCAAGUGAAGCCCAGAAAGCUACGUGGUGGAGGGAAGGUUGUGGUUAGCAUGGUCCACCUGCGCUCGAUGCGGUUUCAUGAGGAGAUCAAGGAGCAGGUCAUCUGGACUGGUUGGGAUGGUUUCAGAAGAAGCCUGCAUACUUCCUGAAGCAGUCCACCUCUGCUUUUGCAAGUCCUCCGGAACUUUGUACCUUGAGAGCUGGCUCAGAGGCAGCCGAGGAGCCGGCCUGGAGACUCCCCUUUCUCUAGAGAGCGGGACUACAGCUUGCCGGCUGAGCGCACAGAGCCUCAAGGCCGCUCUACCUGUGUGCCCUGCUCAUGCUCCGCCCCCAGCCACUCCCUCGCCGGGCCUGUGCUGAAUCAGCAGCAUCCCCCUUGCUCUCUUGGCAUGCUGCAGCCCGGCUAAGCCAAGUGUGGUUACAAUGAGUCGGUUCAUCUGGAAGCUCGCAUCCUGUACCCUUUUCCAAUGUGAUGUUCCAGCCAACUGGCACCCAAGAGUAAAGAAAAACCCUGGGAACCGAGGCUGCUGAGGACUUACAGCCUUGCACAAGCCAAGGGCAAGGGCAACAUUGAGGGGAAGGUCGCCCUGCUGCCAGGCCUUUCUCUCUACUCCAU